GGCCGGUUAGCUCAGUCAGUUGAGCGUGGUGCUAACAACGCCAAGGUCGCGGGUUUGAUUCCUGGUCGGUCC
RNAcentral lists this transfer RNA (72 nucleotides) under Apaloderma vittatum (bar-tailed trogon). It matches the Rfam family "tRNA". Rfam says of the family: Transfer RNA (tRNA) molecules are approximately 80 nucleotides in length. Their secondary structure includes four short double-helical elements and three loops (D, anti-codon, and T loops). Lineage: Eukaryota; Metazoa; Chordata; Aves; Trogoniformes; Trogonidae. The record is from Rfam by way of RNAcentral.